GAUGAACGCUAGCGAUAGGCCUAACACAUGCAAGUCGAGGGGCAUCACAUGAAGUAGCAAUACGGAUGGUGGCGACCGGCGCACGGGUGAGUAACACGUAUGCAACCUGCCUUCAACAAGGGGAUAACCCGUUGAAAGACGGACUAAUACCCUAUAACACAGGGGUCCCGCAUGGGAAUAUUUGUUAAAGGACAACCGGUUGAAGAUGGGCAUGCGUUCCAUUAGCUAGUUGGCGGGGUAAAGGCCCACCAAGGCGACGAUCCGUAGCGGGUCUGAGAGGAUGAUCCGCCACACUGGAACUGAGACACGGUCCAGACUCCUACGGGAGGCAGCAGUGGGGAAUAUUGGGCAAUGAGCGAAAGCCUGACCCAGCAACGCCGCGUGAAGGAAGAAGGUUUUCGGAUUGUAAAGCUCUUUCGGACGGAAAGAAAUCGCCGCCUCUAACAUAGGCGGUGGAUGACGGUACCGUAAGAAGAAGCACCGGCUAACUACGUGCCAGCAGCCGCGGUAAUU
This 513-nucleotide ribosomal RNA is filed under the name uncultured bacterium. RNAcentral's name for it is "bacterial SSU rRNA". It matches the Rfam family "Bacterial small subunit ribosomal RNA", at positions 28 to 525 of the family's 1533-position model. The record is from RNAcentral.